This 253-nucleotide ribosomal RNA is filed under the name uncultured bacterium. Its description in RNAcentral is "partial 16S ribosomal RNA". It matches the Rfam family "Bacterial small subunit ribosomal RNA", at positions 524 to 776 of the family's 1533-position model. The record is from RNAcentral.
CACGUAAGGGGCGAGCGUUGUUCGGAUUUAUUGGGCGUAAAGCGCGCGCAGGCGGUUUUACAAGUUUGGUGUGAAAUAUCUGGGCUUAACUCAGAAGACGCAUCGAAAACUGUAAGACUAGAGUUUUGGAGGGGGAGCUGGAAUUCCAAGUGUAGGGGUGAAAUCUGUUGAUAUUUGGAAGAACACCGGAGGCGAAGGCGAGCUCCUGGCUGGAAACUGACGCUGAGGCGCGAAAGCGUAGGUAGCAAACAGG